Molecule: ribosomal RNA, 465 nt
Filed under: Vreelandella stevensii
Lineage: Bacteria; Pseudomonadati; Pseudomonadota; Gammaproteobacteria; Oceanospirillales; Halomonadaceae
Description: partial 16S ribosomal RNA
Rfam family: Bacterial small subunit ribosomal RNA
Source: RNAcentral
CCUACGGGGGGCCGCAGUGGGGAAUAUUGGACAAUGGGCGAAAGCCUGAUCCAGCCAUGCCGCGUGUGUGAAGAAGGCCUUCGGGUUGUAAAGCACUUUCAGUGGGGAAGAAAGCCUUGGGGCUAAUACCCUCGAGGAAGGACAUCACCCACAGAAGAAGCACCGGCUAACUCCGUGCCAGCAGCCGCGGUAAUACGGAGGGUGCGAGCGUUAAUCGGAAUUACUGGGCGUAAAGCGCGCGUAGGCGGUCUGAUAAGCCGGUUGUGAAAGCCCCGGGCUCAACCUGGGAACGGCAUCCGGAACUGUCAGGCUAGAGUGCAGGAGAGGAAGGUAGAAUUCCCGGUGUAGCGGUGAAAUGCGUAGAGAUCGGGAGGAAUACCAGUGGCGAAGGCGGCCUUCUGGACUGACACUGACGCUGAGGUGCGAAAGCGUGGGUAGCAAACAGGAUUAGAUACCCUAGUAGUC